GGGACAAAAACUCGAUCAUCUUUUAUUGAAAAAGAAUAUAAACUCAAUCAUGUGUUUGCUUGAUUUAAAAUACUUUCCUACAACAGUAGCUUGAGCUGGAAAGUGCAAGUUCAUAUAACCAACAUCAACAUUUCCAUCCCCUGUGGCUGCAUUGUUUAUGGCAAAUGUUGGUAUGUAUAGGCUAAACCAAAAAUAAUAAUAAUAAAAUAAAAAAUAAAUUAUAAAAAUAUUUCCUCUACUUUAGCUCGAUUUCACUUACAUCUUCUAUACUUUAAAAAUAUCAAACUAGCCUUUCUAAUUAUCGAGAUGUUUCGAUAUAAUCCAAACGUCUAUCUCUAUUAAUAAAAUUUUUUAAAAUGAUAAAAAUAUCCAUCUCCUUCCUCCUCCCUCCUCCUCCAUGGCUGAUGUCUCUCUUUUUCUCUCUUCUUUCCUUCUCUUUUUUCUCUUCCUCCCCUUCUUUUUCACCCAUUUUGUCAUCCUCUCCUUCUUCCUCUUUCUCCCUCCUCCUUUCUCCUCUCCUUUCUUCCUAUCCACUUCUCCUCCUCAUCCUUUUCCUCCAAGCCACUUAUAAACUAUCUCCCUACAUAACAGCCUCCUCCACCUUCAUCCCUUCUUAUCUUCCACAUCUUCUUUCUCCCCAUCCUCUUCUCCCAUUCUUUCUCCACCCUAUUCCUGACUG
RNAcentral lists this long non-coding RNA (679 nucleotides) under Elaeis guineensis (African oil palm). RNAcentral's name for it is "long non-coding RNA (EGUI_LNC031271)". The record is from RNAcentral. Lineage: Eukaryota; Viridiplantae; Streptophyta; Magnoliopsida; Arecales; Arecaceae.